Molecule: ribosomal RNA, 1438 nt
Filed under: Salmonella enterica subsp. enterica serovar Bovismorbificans
Lineage: Bacteria; Pseudomonadati; Pseudomonadota; Gammaproteobacteria; Enterobacterales; Enterobacteriaceae
Description: bacterial SSU rRNA
Rfam family: Bacterial small subunit ribosomal RNA
Source: RNAcentral
GUAAUGUCUGGGAAACUGCCUGAUGGAGGGGGAUAACUACUGGAAACGGUGGCUAAUACCGCAUAACGUCGCAAGACCAAAGAGGGGGACCUUCGGGCCUCUUGCCAUCAGAUGUGCCCAGAUGGGAUUAGCUAGUUGGUGAGGUAACGGCUCACCAAGGCGACGAUCCCUAGCUGGUCUGAGAGGAUGACCAGCCACACUGGAACUGAGACACGGUCCAGACUCCUACGGGAGGCAGCAGUGGGGAAUAUUGCACAAUGGGCGCAAGCCUGAUGCAGCCAUGCCGCGUGUAUGAAGAAGGCCUUCGGGUUGUAAAGUACUUUCAGCGGGGAGGAAGGUGUUGUGGUUAAUAACCGCAGCAAUUGACGUUACCCGCAGAAGAAGCACCGGCUAACUCCGUGCCAGCAGCCGCGGUAAUACGGAGGGUGCAAGCGUUAAUCGGAAUUACUGGGCGUAAAGCGCACGCAGGCGGUCUGUCAAGUCGGAUGUGAAAUCCCCGGGCUCAACCUGGGAACUGCAUUCGAAACUGGCAGGCUUGAGUCUUGUAGAGGGGGGUAGAAUUCCAGGUGUAGCGGUGAAAUGCGUAGAGAUCUGGAGGAAUACCGGUGGCGAAGGCGGCCCCCUGGACAAAGACUGACGCUCAGGUGCGAAAGCGUGGGGAGCAAACAGGAUUAGAUACCCUGGUAGUCCACGCCGUAAACGAUGUCUACUUGGAGGUUGUGCCCUUGAGGCGUGGCUUCCGGAGCUAACGCGUUAAGUAGACCGCCUGGGGAGUACGGCCGCAAGGUUAAAACUCAAAUGAAUUGACGGGGGCCCGCACAAGCGGUGGAGCAUGUGGUUUAAUUCGAUGCAACGCGAAGAACCUUACCUGGUCUUGACAUCCACGGAAGUUUUCAGAGAUGAGAAUGUGCCUUCGGGAACCGUGAGACAGGUGCUGCAUGGCUGUCGUCAGCUCGUGUUGUGAAAUGUUGGGUUAAGUCCCGCAACGAGCGCAACCCUUAUCCUUUGUUGCCAGCGAUUAGGUCGGGAACUCAAAGGAGACUGCCAGUGAUAAACUGGAGGAAGGUGGGGAUGACGUCAAGUCAUCAUGGCCCUUACGACCAGGGCUACACACGUGCUACAAUGGCGCAUACAAAGAGAAGCGACCUCGCGAGAGCAAGCGGACCUCAUAAAGUGCGUCGUAGUCCGGAUUGGAGUCUGCAACUCGACUCCAUGAAGUCGGAAUCGCUAGUAAUCGUGGAUCAGAAUGCCACGGUGAAUACGUUCCCGGGCCUUGUACACACCGCCCGUCACACCAUGGGAGUGGGUUGCAAAAGAAGUAGGUAGCUUAACCUUCGGGAGGGCGCUUACCACUUUGUGAUUCAUGACUGGGGUGAAGUCGUAACAAGGUAACCGUAGGGGAACCUGCGGUUGGAUCACCUCCUUACCUUAAAGAAGC